This 715-nucleotide long non-coding RNA is filed under the name Nicotiana benthamiana. RNAcentral's name for it is "long non-coding RNA (NBEN_LNC025349)". The record is from RNAcentral. Lineage: Eukaryota; Viridiplantae; Streptophyta; Magnoliopsida; Solanales; Solanaceae.
UCAGAAUCAAACUCGAGUGAAUAUAGCAAUAAAAAGCUAGUAUUCAAAAUCCAACACGAGAAGCCACAUAAACGCUAAGAGGAACGGCCAUGGAUUUGAUAUCAUCAUUAAUAAAGCAACAACAACAGUAAUGUUUGCUUAUAAAGAAGCUUCCGAUUAACGAAAAAUUGCAGUAGUUACAACAUAUGGGAAACGCAGCUACGAGCGAAAAUCGAUGAACCCAAAACAGAGAACCGAACCGGAAGCUAACGAACGGAAACUCUGUUGAACUUGAACUCGACGGCAAUCGGACCAAACUCCAGUGACUCAAACCACGACCAAAAAGCUGCUCGUACUUGAACGAUUUGAGACCUAUUUGCAGCUGGUUUCGCUGCUUCUAAUAGCUGGAGUUCAGAGAUGAUUCAAGCGUGUUUUCCGCUAGGAUUUUGAUUGGGGUAAAGGUCGUUUCUUCAGUUGUAUUUGUGUGUGACUGGUUUCUGGUUGGUCGUGCUGAGGGAGCAGCAGUGAGGUUGGUGGCGGAGGAGAUGACUGGCGAUAGGAUAUAGGGAGAGGCGAUGGGGAUUUAGGGGUUUGUUUGGAGACGAUGGUUGGUGGUGGAGUUCCGGCGAGAUUUGGUUGAAGAUGGGGGUAGCUGGCGGCUGAAGGUCCUAGGAAUUCUUUUGUUCUUGUGUAAUCAGUUGAAGAAGAUGAAGGUCUUCUCCAUGUGAAAUACGAC